AAUAGAUACCCAGGUAGUCCACGCCGUAAACGAUGAGUGCUAAGUGUUGGAGGGUUUCCGCCCUUCAGUGCUGCAGCUAACGCAUUAAGCACUCCGCCUGGGGAGUACGGUCGCAAGACUGAAACUCAAAGGAAUUGACGGUGGCCCGCACAAGCGGUGGAGCAUGUGGUUUAAUUCGAAGCAACGCGAAGAACCUUACCAGGUCUUGACAUCCUCUGCUACUCCUAGAGAUAGGAGGUUCCCCUUCGGGGGACAGAGUGACAGGUGGUGCAUGGUUGUCGUCAGCUCGUGUCGUGAGAUGUUGGGUUAAGUCCCGCAACGAGCGCAACCCUUGUCCUUAGUUGCCAUCAUUGAGUUGGGGCACUCUAAGGAGACUGCCGGUGAUAAACCGGAGGAAGGUGGGGAUGACGUCAAAUCAUCAUGCCCCUUAUGACCUGGGCUACACACGUGCUACAAUGGAUGGUACAAAGGGAAGCAAGACCGCGAGGUGGAGCCAAAUCCCGAGAAAGCCAUUCUCAGUUCGGAUUGGU
This 530-nucleotide ribosomal RNA is filed under the name uncultured bacterium. Its description in RNAcentral is "bacterial SSU rRNA". It matches the Rfam family "Bacterial small subunit ribosomal RNA", at positions 777 to 1302 of the family's 1533-position model. The record is from RNAcentral.